AACGGUGAACACUGCCCCCUUUUUUUUUAAUCUCCUGAUCCUGACAACUACUUCCUAUAAUAAAUUAAGUUGAAAUCUCUCGUUUAAUAUAAUCAUCCUGUCUAGAUAUUCUUGCCUGCAUCUGUUAACUUUAUAGAGCUACUGAUGAAUUCGGCAGAUUAGCAUCCAUAUGCUUGUGAUCGCUCCUUAAAUUCAUGAAUUUUAAGUGUUUAAUUAGUAAUUUCUAAAGAUAAUAUGUAUGUUGUUGUCAAGUUUCAAGUCUUUUUUGUUUAACACACACUUCAUAUAUAAAGUCGAGCACACAUAUACAUAUAUAUAUACCCAUUUGAAAGGAAUACGAAUUUUAUUUUGAUACUAAAAAAGAAGAGAUGGAUGAACCUUAACACAUGCG
RNAcentral lists this long non-coding RNA (391 nucleotides) under Populus trichocarpa (black cottonwood). RNAcentral's name for it is "long non-coding RNA (PTRI_LNC001604)". Lineage: Eukaryota; Viridiplantae; Streptophyta; Magnoliopsida; Malpighiales; Salicaceae. The record is from RNAcentral.